AGGCUGACUGGCACUUGGAGAGUGGCAAGUCUUCCAGUAUGGGGAGCAAAACAGCUAUGGGUCAAGUCCGAUAUCUUUAGGAGAAGUCUUAUUGUGAGGGCGAGUUAUAUAACACCAUAGGACUGGCCGUCCCAUAUGAAAAGAUUAUAUUAGAAUUGAAUGAAGCUUUGUUUAUAUAUUGAUAAUGACAGUAUAUAUAUCGUGUCUUGACUAAUUGCGUGCCAGCAGUCGCGGUAAUACGUAAGAGACUAGUGUUAUUCAUCUUAAUUAGGUUUAAAGGGUACCCAGACGGUCAAUAUAGCUUAUAAAAUGUUAGUACUUGACUAGAGUUUUAUGUAAGAGGGCAGUACUUGAGGAGGAGAGAUGAAAUUUCGUGAUACCAAAGGGACUCUGUAAAGGCGAAGGCAGCCCUCUAUGUAAAAACUGACGUUGAAGGACGAAGGCACAGAGAACAAACAGGAUUAGAUACCCAAGUAGUCUUUGCAGUAAAUGAUGAAUGCCAUAGGUUAGAUUGAUCAAUUAUAGUCUAGGGUUAGUCUAGCAAACUAAUGCCCUAUGAUAUAAUUCAAAAUAUCUGGUCUAUAAAUGAAAGUGUAAGCAUUUCACCUCAAGAGUAAUGUGGCAACGCAGGAACUGAAAUCACUAGACCGUUUCUGACACCAGUAGUGAAGUAUGUUAUUUAACCAAAAACCCCCAAAAAA
Molecule: ribosomal RNA, 701 nt
Filed under: Fusarium oxysporum
Lineage: Eukaryota; Fungi; Ascomycota; Sordariomycetes; Hypocreales; Nectriaceae
Description: SSU rRNA
Rfam family: Bacterial small subunit ribosomal RNA
Source: RNAcentral